GUGGAUUAGAUACCCUGGUAGUCCCCGCCCUAAACGAUGAAUACUCGAUGUUAGCGAUAUACAGUUAGCGUCAAAGCGAAAGCGUUAAGUAUUCCACCUGGGGAGUACGCCCGCAAGGGUGAAACUCAAAGGAAUUGACGGGGGCCCGCACAAGCGGAGGAGCAUGUGGUUUAAUUCGAUGAUACGCGAGGAACCUUACCCGGGCUUGAAAGUUACUGAAUGAUCUAGAGAUAGAUCAGUCCGCAAGGACAGGAAACUAGGUGCUGCAUGGCCGUCGACAACU
Molecule: ribosomal RNA, 283 nt
Filed under: uncultured bacterium
Lineage: Bacteria
Description: partial 16S ribosomal RNA
Rfam family: Bacterial small subunit ribosomal RNA
Source: RNAcentral